This 253-nucleotide ribosomal RNA is filed under the name uncultured bacterium. Its description in RNAcentral is "partial 16S ribosomal RNA". It matches the Rfam family "Bacterial small subunit ribosomal RNA", at positions 524 to 776 of the family's 1533-position model. The record is from RNAcentral.
UACGUAGGCAGCGAGCGUUGUUCGGAGUUACUGGGCGUAAAGGGUGCGUAGGCGGCCCGGUAAGUCAGUGGUGAAAGCCUCCAGCUCAACUGGAGAACUGCCAUUGAUACUGCCGGGCUUGAGUACAGACGAGGUUGGCGGAAUUGAUUGUGUAGCGGUGAAAUGCAUAGAUACAAUCAAGAACUCCGAUUGCGUAGGCAGCUAACUAGGCUGUAACUGACGCUGAGGCACGAAAGCGUGGGGAGCGAACAGG